Molecule: transfer RNA, 91 nt
Filed under: Pseudomonas sp. HMWF005
Lineage: Bacteria; Pseudomonadati; Pseudomonadota; Gammaproteobacteria; Pseudomonadales; Pseudomonadaceae
Also listed under: 1 other name
Description: tRNA-Leu
Source: RNAcentral
ACUUAAGUAAUUGAUUUUAUUGUAUAAAAACUCGGACUUAAAAUCCCCCGCUCGUAAGGGCGUGCCGGUUCGAUUCCGGCUUCGGGCACCA